AUGACCUGCCCUCGCGAGCCCCAGGGGCUGCUGGGUUAUUGCCAAGGUGAGCUGCAUAACCCGGGCAGGGCCUGCCCUCGUGAGCCCUGGGAACUGGAAGGGGCUUGUGAACAAGCAUCCUUUGCAGUUGGUACAGAGUUGUUUAGUGUGAUUCCUGGGGGCAUUGCUGGAAUGAAAUGAGAACCAGAAAGUGCUGCACGUCCUUGGACCCCCACCCAGACUCAUCCAGAGUGACAAGCACCCAGUCCUGCACCUCCUGUGUCAGUCUUGCCUUCCAGGGAGUUGUCUCAGCACUUCAGCAAGACAAAGAAAUGGCUGAGCCUGCUAGAACCAAGGCACACUGAAAUCCACUCUUGGGUGGGAGUAUGGAUUCUUCACUGUCACCCUGGAUACUCAACCUUCACGACACAAGCCCACACCCUGAAAUCAAAGACCCAGCUCUACUCCCUCAGAUGCACUACAUAUGAUGGAGUGCCAAUCUCAGCCAGCCAGGCCAGUCACCACACCCAACUUUAUCCAACUCCCUGAAAGAAGCAACCCUCCUAUUGAAGUGAGGACAGCAAGCCUUUCAUCAGCAGCCUUCCUCCCCGACACUCAGCUUGGACUCCUAAACAACCCAGCCGUGACUCACCUUACAUGGAUUUGGACAGGUUCCUUCAAAUGGGUGUCCCACAGAGGCUGAAGCAGCUCAGCUGCAGAAGGCAGGCAGAGGCUUUGGGGAACCCUGGAGAGACAGAACCACACCAUAAGCACAGCUCACACCCUGAACACGUAAGACAUACGACCUUAACACCCUGAAGCUCAGGUUUCUAGACUUCAAACACCCUGCCAGGCUGAUUUGAAAACGGCAUGUCCAGGAUUCAAGCCAGGUUUCUCUGGUCCAGCCUCAAACAAGAAAGGACCCUUAGACCCCGGAGAGCCAGUCAAACUCACUCAUACUCUGGCUGCCUGACUGGCAGGAAUGGAAUCAGAUACCUGAUGGCAAAAUUCCAUCCCCUCACUGAAUGGAGUCCCAUUGGGCUGCAGUGUCAGGGCACCACGAAAACAAACCCCAGGCUCUUGGCCCCUCCUUGGGAUUCCAUGGGUCCCUUUCCAAUCCAAUCUGAGCCUGGAGAGAUGCAGAGAGAUGCAGCGGGCUCUGCUGGUGCUCUGUCGCCCUCUGGAGGACAUGUCCUCUAAAAGCAACUCUCAGACCUUCCUCUGUGUCCCGCAGCUAAAUUCUGGUGUGCCCUGGCCUGGGGCAAUUGCCAGCAUGAUAUUCUUCCUCCUCUCCCUGUCGGGUGCACUGUCACAGUCAGCCAAGACCCUCACCCAACACAGCACCACCCCACACCCUGAAAUCCCCUCCAUUUUGUAAGUCAUGAGAGCAGGCUCCACAUCAACCAGCACCCUUCAGCCCUUGGAUCCAGCGUGAAGCCAGGGAU
Non-coding RNA from Sus scrofa (pig), 1424 nucleotides. The record is from RefSeq and is a predicted model, not a curated record. Lineage: Eukaryota; Metazoa; Chordata; Mammalia; Artiodactyla; Suidae.